UUAAAUUGAAGAGUUUGAUCAUGGCUCAGAUUGAACGCUGGCGGCAGGCCUAACACAUGCAAGUCGAACGGUAACAGGAAGCAGCUUGUUGCUUCG
Molecule: ribosomal RNA, 96 nt
Filed under: Salmonella enterica
Lineage: Bacteria; Pseudomonadati; Pseudomonadota; Gammaproteobacteria; Enterobacterales; Enterobacteriaceae
Description: partial 16S ribosomal RNA
Rfam family: Bacterial small subunit ribosomal RNA
Source: RNAcentral